Molecule: ribosomal RNA, 1017 nt
Filed under: uncultured organism
Description: bacterial SSU rRNA
Rfam family: Bacterial small subunit ribosomal RNA
Source: RNAcentral
GAGGAAUAUUGGUCAAUGGACGAGAGUCUGAACCAGCCAAGUAGCGUGAAGGAUGACUGCCCUAUGGGUUGUAAACUUCUUUUAUACGGGAAUAAAGUUAGCCACGUGUGGCUUUUUGUAUGUACCGUAUGAAUAAGGAUCGGCUAACUCCGUGCCAGCAGCCGCGGUAAUACGGAGGAUCCGAGCGUUAUCCGGAUUUAUUGGGUUUAAAGGGAGCGUAGGCGGGUUGUUAAGUCAGUUGUGAAAGUUUGCGGCUCAACCGUAAAAUUGCAGUUGAUACUGGCGACCUUGAGUGCAACAGAGGUAGGCGGAAUUCGUGGUGUAGCGGUGAAAUGCUUAGAUAUCACGAAGAACUCCGAUUGCGAAGGCAGCUUACUGGAUUGUAACUGACGCUGAUGCUCGAAAGUGUGGGUAUCAAACAGGAUUAGAUACCCUGGUAGUCCACACAGUAAACGAUGAAUACUCGCUGUUGGCGAUAUACGGUCAGCGGCCAAGCGAAAGCAUUAAGUAUUCCACCUGGGGAGUACGCCGGCAACGGUGAAACUCAAAGGAAUUGACGGGGGCCCGCACAAGCGGAGGAACAUGUGGUUUAAUUCGAUGAUACGCGAGGAACCUUACCCGGGCUUAAAUUGCAACUGACUGAACCGGAAACGGUUCUUUCUUCGGACAGUUGUGAAGGUGCUGCAUGGUUAUCGUCAGCUCGUGCCGUGAGGUGUCGGCUUAAGUGCCAUAACGAGCGCAACCCUUAUCGAUAGUUACUAGCAGGUCAUGCUGAGGACUCUAUUGAGACUGCCGUCGUAAGAUGUGAGGAAGGUGGGGAUGACGUCAAAUCAGCACGGCCCUUACGUCCGGGGCUACACACGUGUUACAAUGGGGGGUACAGAAGGCAGCUACACGGCGACGUGGUGCUAAUCCCGAAAGCCUCUCUCAGUUCGGAUUGGAGUCUGCAACCCGACUCCAUGAAGCUGGAUUCGCUAGUAAUCGCGCAUCAGCCACGGCGCGGUGAAUACGUUCCCG